UUCAGAAUUUUUCAUCAAUAGGUUGUAUCUUUAAAUAAUUUUCUUAAAACUGCUAUUUUGGAAAACUUUCAUUUUUUUGAGAAAUAUUGUAGAUUUGGGUUUUUGAUUUAUAAAUUAGAAUAAAAAGAAUAUUUGUGGAUAGAUGAGUGUUUUUUAAGAAUUUUUCAUCAAUAUGUUGUAUUUAAAAAUAAUUUUCUUAAAAACUGCUAUUUUUGAAUUUUUUGAAUUUUUUAGAGAAAUUUUAUAGAUCUGAGUUUCUGAUUUAGAAAUUAUGAUAAAAAUAAUAUUUAUAGAUAGUUGAGGUAUUCUUUCAGAGUUUUUCAUGAAUAAGUUGUAUUUUUAAAUAAUUUUCUUAAAAACUGCUAUUUUUGGAAAGUUUUCAUUUUUUAGAGAAAUUUUAUAGAUUUUAGUUUCUGAUUUAGCAAUUAGGAUAACAAGAAUAUUUUUGGAUAGUAAAUUAUUCUUUCAGAGUUUUUCAUGAAUAGCUUGUAUUUUUAAAUAAUUUUCUUUAAAACUGUUAUUUUUGGAAAGUUUUCAUUUAUUAGAGAAAUACUGUAGAUUUGAGUUUAUGAUUUAGAAAUUAGGAUAAGAAGAAUAUUUGUGGAUAGUUGAGUAUUUUUUCACAGUUUUGCAUCAAUAGGUUGUAUUUUUAAAUAAUUUUCUUAAAAACUGCUAUUUUUGGAAAAUUUUCAUUUUUUUUUGAUAAAUAUUGUAGAUUUGGGCUUGUGAUUUAGAAAUUAGGAUAACAAUAAUAUUUGUGGAUAGAUGAGUAUUCUUUCAAAGUUUUUCCUCAAUAUGUUUUAUUUUAAAUAAUUUUCUUAAAAACAUCUAUUUUUGGAAAGUUUUCAUUUUUUGAGAAGUAUUGUAAAUUUGGGUUUGUGAUUUAAAAAUUAUGAUAACAAGAAUUUUAUGAAUGGAUUAGUAUUCUUUCACAAAUUUUCAUCAACAUGUUGUAUUUUUAAUCAUUUUUGUAAAAACUGUUAUUUUUGGAAUGUUUUCAUUUUUUAGAGAAAUAUUGUAGAUUGGGGUUUGUGAUUUAGAAAUUAAGAUAACAAGAAUAUUUGUGGAUAGAUGGAUAUUUUCAGAAUAUUUCAUCAGUAUGUUGUAUUUUUAAAUAAUUUUCUUUAAAACUGCUAUUUUUGAAAAGUUUCGAUAAAUAAUAAUAUAUAAAGACAUAACUAUUAUACAAAUUUAAAUACUACAACAACACUAAUAGUCAGGUAAGUUUGAACCGGAACCUUCAAAAUUUCUAAUAUUGUCCAAAUUUUUAUUGUGUAUCUGAAGAUGGUUGUUGUUGUUGUUGAUGAUGUCUUUUCGUACAAUUCUUUCUUGUUUAUAUUGAAUAUAUUUACAAGUAUUAAUAUCAUCGAUAAAAAUAAGAUU
RNAcentral lists this long non-coding RNA (1383 nucleotides) under Brassica napus (rape). Its description in RNAcentral is "long non-coding RNA (BNAP_LNC013144)". Lineage: Eukaryota; Viridiplantae; Streptophyta; Magnoliopsida; Brassicales; Brassicaceae. The record is from RNAcentral.